GUGGGGAAUUUUGCGCAAUGGGCGAAAGCCUGACGCAGCAACGCCGCGUGGGUGACGAAGUCCCUUGGGACGUAAAACCCUGUCAGCUGGGACGAAAGGGCCCGCAAGGGCAAUUGACUGUACCAGCAGAGGAAGCCCCGGCUAACUCCGUGCCAGCAGCCGCGGUAAUACGGGGGGGGCAAGCGUUGUUCGGAAUUACUGGGCGUAAAGGGCGUGUAGGCGGCUAGGCAAGUCAGUUGUGAAAGCCCCAGGCUCAACCUGGGAAUUGCAACUGAAACUGCCUGGCUAGAGUUCAGGAGAGGAGGGCGGAACUCCCAGUGUAGCGGUGAAAUGCGUAGAUAUUGGGAGGAACACCGGUGGCGAAGGCGGCUCUCUGGACUGAAACUGACGCUGAGGCGCGAAAGCCAGGGGAGCAAACGGGAUUAGAUACCCUAGUAGUCC
This 441-nucleotide ribosomal RNA is filed under the name uncultured bacterium. Its description in RNAcentral is "bacterial SSU rRNA". It matches the Rfam family "Bacterial small subunit ribosomal RNA", at positions 354 to 796 of the family's 1533-position model. The record is from RNAcentral.